UACCCGGGCCGUGACUGGCGCUGAGGUGGAGUACCACCGGGGAGCGGCCCGGGAGAGAUGCCGCGCGCCUGGGCGAGAGAG
This 81-nucleotide non-coding RNA is filed under the name Streptomyces yokosukanensis. RNAcentral's name for it is "ZTP sequence". It matches the Rfam family "ZMP/ZTP riboswitch aptamer (pfl RNA motif)". From Rfam's summary of the family: Previously known as pfl RNA. ZMP is also known as AICAR. Lineage: Bacteria; Bacillati; Actinomycetota; Actinomycetes; Kitasatosporales; Streptomycetaceae. The record is from Rfam by way of RNAcentral.